GUUGACCUCGAAUCAGGUAGGACUACCCGCUGAACUUAAGA
This 41-nucleotide ribosomal RNA is filed under the name Beauveria bassiana. RNAcentral's name for it is "partial 28S ribosomal RNA". Lineage: Eukaryota; Fungi; Ascomycota; Sordariomycetes; Hypocreales; Cordycipitaceae. The record is from RNAcentral.